ACGGAUAUCCAUUGGAUAAAAAUAAUUAUCCAUAUCCAUCUGGAUAUAAUUUUAAAAUAUCCAUUUCAAAAUCCAAAAAUUUUUGGAUGGAUAUUAUCUGAUCCAAUUGGAUGGAUAUUGUGGAUAUCCAUUAUGGAGUGAUCCAGUUGCCAUCCCUAAGUAGGGGUGUUCGCAAGUUGGAUUUUGUAGAUUAUAAAUUUUUAAUUCAAUUCAAUUCACAGUUGGUGAAAUUCAAUCCAAAUUCAAUUCAUACGUCUGCGGAUCGGAUGCGGAUUUGACUCAAUUCAUAUCCAAUCUACUAUUUUAUGGGUUAAAAUUUUUUAUUCAUGUCCUACCCACAAACUAACUAAAUAAAAAAUUAAUAUUAUAAUACUAGAGGCUAACAACAUCAAGAAUCUCAAUAUUUUUUGCUUACAGUAACAACUUAAUAUAUGUCUCUCUAACAAGUGGGCAUCUCAAAUAACAACCAACAAGAUGAUAAAAUAAAAAUAAACACCAGUAGGAUUGUAGAGGACGAUGACAAGAACUUACUUUCUAAAUUUAAGAGAAAACGGAGUUAAAAUCACCUUCCGAUCAUCCAAUCAAAGAUUGAAAUCCUAGCCCCCAAAUUUAAUAUCAGGCCAUUGUUCUCUCUCUCUCUCUCUGGUCUUUUCUUCACUUAUCUUUUGCAAUUAUAGUGUCUAGGGUUGCCGCUUUUACUUGCUUUUAUUUGUGAUUAUACUGUCUUAAGUUUGAUGUCCAAUUAGUACUAAUUAUUUAGCGAAAGUCCCAUUCAUCGACGAAUUCCAUUGCUCUCAAAGAAUCAAAGAUGUUUAUUUUUUUCACAAUAAUUCUAUAG
RNAcentral lists this long non-coding RNA (838 nucleotides) under Citrus x clementina. RNAcentral's name for it is "Citrus clementina (C. clementina) long non-coding RNA (CCLE_LNC006423)". Lineage: Eukaryota; Viridiplantae; Streptophyta; Magnoliopsida; Sapindales; Rutaceae. The record is from RNAcentral.